GACGAACGCUGGCGGCGUGCUUAACACAUGCAAGUCGAACGGAAAGGCCCUGCUUUUGUGGGGUGCUCGAGUGGCGAACGGGUGAGUAACACGUGAGUAACCUGCCCUUGACUUUGGGAUAACUUCAGGAAACUGGGGCUAAUACCGGAUAGGAGCUCCUGCUGCAUGGUGGGGGUUGGAAAGUUUCGGCGGUUGGGGAUGGACUCGCGGCUUAUCAGCUUGUUGGUGGGGUAGUGGCUUACCAAGGCGUUGACGGGUAGCCGGCCUGAGAGGGUGACCGGCCACAGUGGGACUGAGAUACGGCCCAGACUCCUACGGGAGGCAGCAGUGGGGAAUAUUGCACAAUGGGCGGAAGCCUGAUGCAGCAACGCCGCGUGCGGGAUGACGGCCUUCGGGUUGUAAACCGCUUUCGCCUGUGACGAAGCGUGAGUGACGGUAAUGGGUAAAGAAGCACCGGCUAACUACGUG
Molecule: ribosomal RNA, 468 nt
Filed under: uncultured bacterium
Lineage: Bacteria
Description: partial 16S ribosomal RNA
Rfam family: Bacterial small subunit ribosomal RNA
Source: RNAcentral